This 253-nucleotide ribosomal RNA is filed under the name uncultured bacterium. RNAcentral's name for it is "partial 16S ribosomal RNA". It matches the Rfam family "Bacterial small subunit ribosomal RNA", at positions 524 to 776 of the family's 1533-position model. The record is from RNAcentral.
UACGAAGGGGGCUAGCGUUGCUCGGAAUCACUGGGCGUAAAGCGCACGUAGGCGGCUUCUCAAGUCAGGGGUGAAAUCCUGGAGCUCAACUCCAGAACUGCCUUUGAUACUGAGGGGCUCGAGUCCGGGAGAGGUGAGUGGAACUGCGAGUGUAGAGGUGAAAUUCGUAGAUAUUCGGAGGAACACCAGUGGCGAAGGCGGCCCACUGGCUCGACACUGACGCUGAGGUGCGAAAGCGUGGGGAGCAAACAGG